This 1380-nucleotide long non-coding RNA is filed under the name Ornithorhynchus anatinus (platypus). RNAcentral's name for it is "lncRNA (ENSOANG00000036516.1)". The record is from RNAcentral. Lineage: Eukaryota; Metazoa; Chordata; Mammalia; Monotremata; Ornithorhynchidae.
AAGCAUAACAAAGGGAAAAAUGGCAAUACUGGAGAGCUCCUUUAUUUUUAAAGGGCUCGACGAAACAACUUAUUGCAAAGUUAUAUCUAUUUCUACACUCUGUUUCCCUUAAGGUGAAUCACUGCCAUUUAUUUAAUUUUGGGGCUUUAAUUAAAAAAAGGGCACCGCCUCUCUGUGUCGCCUGUGGGCUCCAGUGACCGCUGUCCUGUUUUUUUUGCAGGAUUAACCUUUGGAAAAAAAAGGGAAUGUCCUCUUCGCCUAAUGUCCCGUCUAGGGGCCGGCAAUGUUCUCUGCAGAUCUAGUUGCCUCGAGUUCACUGGAAAUGAGAGAAUCAGGAUAAGGUCCCAAAGGAAACAAGCGCUACCCAAAGCCAGGCCCUGACUCAGACACUGAAGAUGGGUGAAGUGUAUCACUGCAAUUCAUUACUUAUAGGACCCUGACAGUGUCUGUGAACGAGUGACUGCGUGAUGAAGUUUACAGAUGACUUACAACAGAUGAAACGGUAGAGUAGAAGAUAGGAGCAGUGGUGGGGAAUAAAUACUUGGAGAGGAUUUUAAUCUCCCCAUCCUCGUUACCUCUGCGCAGGCUGACAUUACAUCCCAGCAGGAUAUAGUCACUUGGAAGUCUCUUCACCACCUGACACUCCCCGCAAAAGUGUAGCUACUUAGCUUUCCUCUGAGUCCUUCCCUCUGCCCAACAUCUUCAUCUCUUCUGGAACCACUCUUGAACCCAAACUCCAAGCACAGAUUCUCGGAACUUUCUUUGCCUCUGUCCUGCUCCUCAGUGACCUGGUCACUAAAACUCGGAUCACUGAGAGUUGCUCUCUGUUCUUUGUACACAAGGAGGUUAUUGGAUGAAAUGAACGACACCAUGUGAAUAUAAAACUACUAUUGCAACAUUUCAGUGGGACCCUAUAAUAAAGUGGUACUCACUGUCUGACAAUAAUUAUAAUAAUAGUGGUAUUUGAUAUGCACUUGCUAUGUGCCAGGCACUGAGGUAGAUAACAAUGCAAUCAGAUUAGACACUGUCCCUAUCUCACAUAGGGCUCACAGUCUAAGAGGGAGGGAGAACAGGUAUUUCAUCCCCAUUUUACAGAGGAGGGAACUGAGGUGCAGGAAAGUUAAGUCACUUGCUCAAGGUCACCCAGCAGGCAAGCCAAUAGAUUGAUCUACUGUGUCUAGCGUGGAAGGACCAUUAUAUGGACAAGGAUGGUUAAACCGAGGUCCCUUUACUUGGUUGCUAGGUUUCUCAGUCCCCUGGGACUGGAGAGUGGAAAUUCAGGGGUCUAACUCGGUCCUAUACUAUAAUGAGUUCUGAAUUCCUGUCGAGUGUGAUCUAAUGGGGCCCCCACCAAGCUGCCUAGAGAGAAAAAUGGGUGCC